RNAcentral lists this transfer RNA (93 nucleotides) under Pantoea agglomerans. Its description in RNAcentral is "tRNA-Phe". It matches the Rfam family "tRNA". From Rfam's summary of the family: Transfer RNA (tRNA) molecules are approximately 80 nucleotides in length. Their secondary structure includes four short double-helical elements and three loops (D, anti-codon, and T loops). Further hydrogen bonds mediate the characteristic L-shaped molecular structure. tRNAs have two regions of fundamental functional importance: the anti-codon, which is responsible for specific mRNA codon recognition, and the 3' end, to which the tRNAs corresponding amino acid is attached (by aminoacyl-tRNA synthetases). tRNAs cope with the degeneracy of the genetic code in two manners: having more than one tRNA (with a specific anti-codon) for a particular amino acid; and 'wobble' base-pairing, i.e. permitting non-standard base-pairing at the 3rd anti-codon position. Lineage: Bacteria; Pseudomonadati; Pseudomonadota; Gammaproteobacteria; Enterobacterales; Erwiniaceae. The record is from RNAcentral.
GGAGGGUUGGCUGAGCCUGGUUUAAGGCACCUCUUUGAAAGUGAGGCGUAUACCAGAGAUGGUGUGCCGAGGGUUCGAAUCCCUCACCCUAUU